This 783-nucleotide ribosomal RNA is filed under the name uncultured Acidobacteriota bacterium. RNAcentral's name for it is "bacterial SSU rRNA". It matches the Rfam family "Bacterial small subunit ribosomal RNA", at positions 15 to 775 of the family's 1533-position model. Lineage: Bacteria; Pseudomonadati; Acidobacteriota. The record is from RNAcentral.
GAUCCUGGCUCAGAAUCAACGCUGGCGGCGUGCCUAACACAUGCAAGUCGAGCGCGAAAGGGGAGCAAUCCCCGAGUAGAGCGGCGAACGGGUGAGUAACGCGUGGGUAAUCGACCUCCGAGUGGGGAAUAACAGCGGGAAACUGCUGCUAAUACCGCAUGACAUCGUCGAGCCUUCUGGCCUGACGAUCAAAGCCGGGGACCGCAAGGCCUGGCGCUUGGAGACGAGCCCGCGUCCGAUUAGCUAGUUGGCGGGGUAACGGCCCACCAAGGCUCCGAUCGGUAGCCGGCCUGAGAGGGCGGACGGCCACACUGGGACUGAGACACGGCCCAGACUCCUACGGGAGGCAGCAGUGGGGAAUUUUUCGCAAUGGGGGAAACCCUGACGAAGCAACGCCGCGUGGAGGAUGAAGGCCUUCGGGUCGUAAACUCCUGUCGACCGGGACGAACGCUAUUGGGCCCAAUACGCCCGAUAGUCGACUGUACCGGUGGAGGAAGCCACGGCUAACUCUGUGCCAGCAGCCGCGGUAAUACAGAGGUGGCAAGCGUUGUUCGGAAUUACUGGGCGUAAAGGGCGCGUAGGCGGCCCGCCAAGUCCCGUGUGAAAGCCCCCGGCUCAACUGGGGAACGGCGCGGGAAACUAGCAGGCUUGAGUUCGGGAGAGGGAAGCGGAAUUCCGGGUGUAGCGGUGAAAUGCGCUAGAUAUCCGGAGGAACACCGGUGGCGAAGGCGGCAUCCUGGACCAGUACUGACACUGAGGAGCGAAAGCCAGGGGAGCAAACGG